UGGACACGCUGGCGGCGUGCUUAACACAUGCAAGUCGAACGGUGACGAGGAGCUUGCUCCUCUGAUCAGUGGCGAACGGGUGAGUAACACGUGAGCAACCUGCCCCAGACUCUGGGAUAACAGUUGGAAACAGCUGCUAAUACCGGAUACGAGACGGAGAGGCAUCUCUACCGUCUGGAAAGUUUUUCGGUCUGGGAUGGACUCGCGGCCUAUCAGCUAGUUGGUGAGGUAAUGGCUCACCAAGGCGACGACGGGUAGCCGGCCUGAGAGGGCGACCGGCCACACUGGGACUGAGACACGGCCCAGACUCCUACGGGAGGCAGCAGUGGGGAAUAUUGCACAAUGGGCGAAAGCCUGAUGCAGCGACGCCGCGUGAGGGAUGACGGCCUUCGGGUUGUAAACCUCUUUCAGCAGGGAAGAAGCGAAAGUGACGGUACCUGCAGAAGAAGCACCGGCUAACUACGUG
RNAcentral lists this ribosomal RNA (466 nucleotides) under uncultured bacterium. RNAcentral describes it as "bacterial SSU rRNA". It matches the Rfam family "Bacterial small subunit ribosomal RNA", at positions 33 to 507 of the family's 1533-position model. The record is from RNAcentral.